AUUGAACGCUGGCGGAAUGCUUUACACAUGCAAGUCGAACGGUAGAGGGGCAACCCUUGAGAGUGGCGAACGGGUGAGUAAUGUAUCGGAACAUGCCCAGUCGUGGGGGAUAACGUAGCGAAAGUUACGCUAAUACCGCAUACGAUCUAUGGAUGAAAGCGGGGGAUCGCAAGACCUCGCGCGAUUGGAGUGGCCGAUAGCAGAUGAGGUAGUUGGUGGGGUAAAGGCCUACCAAGCCGACGAUCUGUAGCUGGUCUGAGAGGACGACCAGCCACACUGGGACUGAGACACGGCCCAGACUCCUACGGGAGGCAGCAGUGGGGAAUUUUGGACAAUGGGCGAAAGCCUGAUCCAGCCAUUCCGCGUGCAGGAAGAAGGCCUUCGGGUUGUAAACUGCUUUUGUACGGAACGAAACGCGCUGUGCUAAUACCACGGCGUAAUGACGGUACCGUAAGAAUAAGCACCGGCUAACUACGUGCCAGCAGCCGCCGUAA
This 494-nucleotide ribosomal RNA is filed under the name uncultured bacterium. Its description in RNAcentral is "partial 16S ribosomal RNA". It matches the Rfam family "Bacterial small subunit ribosomal RNA", at positions 30 to 523 of the family's 1533-position model. The record is from RNAcentral.